RNAcentral lists this unclassified non-coding RNA (240 nucleotides) under soil metagenome. Its description in RNAcentral is "partial contains 5.8S ribosomal RNA, internal transcribed spacer 2, and large subunit ribosomal RNA". The record is from RNAcentral.
AACGCACGAGACCUGCGGACCUGCGGAAGGAUCAUUAAAGAGUGAUGCCACCCUUCAAAGGGCUGGUAGUAAACUCCAACCCCCUAUGUCUUUAUUUACCUUUUUGUUGCUUAGGCGGUUCGUAAAGCUUUUUUUUUUUUAAAAAAAAAUGGCUUUCCAUUGGCUUUUUUCUUAGGCUGAUGAGUUUUAACCGCCAAAGGACUUAAAAACUCUUUGAAAUUUAUUGUCUGAGAUUUUUUU